This 253-nucleotide ribosomal RNA is filed under the name uncultured bacterium. RNAcentral describes it as "partial 16S ribosomal RNA". It matches the Rfam family "Bacterial small subunit ribosomal RNA", at positions 524 to 776 of the family's 1533-position model. The record is from RNAcentral.
UACGGAGGGUGCAAGCGUUAUCCGGAUUCACUGGGUUUAAAGGGUGCGUAGGCGGGCAUGUAAGUCAGUGGUGAAAUCUUCAAGCUUAACUUGGAAACUGCCAUUGAUACUAUGUGUCUUGAAUGUUCUGGAGGUUAGCGGAAUAUGUCAUGUAGCGGUGAAAUGCUUAGAUAUGACAUAGAACACCUAUUGCGAAGGCAGCUAACUACGGAAAUAUUGACGCUGAGGCGCGAAAGCGUGGGGAGCAAACAGG